RNAcentral lists this ribosomal RNA (326 nucleotides) under uncultured eukaryote. RNAcentral's name for it is "partial 18S ribosomal RNA". It matches the Rfam family "Eukaryotic small subunit ribosomal RNA", at positions 1470 to 1796 of the family's 1831-position model. The record is from RNAcentral.
CCCUUAGAUGUUCUGGGCCGCACGCGCGCUACACUGAUGCGUUCAACGAGUGUACAACCUUGCCCGAUAGGGUUGGGUAACCUUUUGAACACGCAUCGUGAUGGGGAUUGAGUAUUGCAAUUAUUACUCAUCAACGAGGAAUUCCUAGUAAUGAUGAAUCAUCAGUUCAUCGUGAUUACGUCCCUGCCCUUUGUACACACCGCCCGUCGCUCCUACCGAUUGAGCAAUCCGGUGAAUAUUUCGGACCUAGAAUUGUCGGGGCAACUCGUUCAGUUUUGGGAAAGUCAAGUUAACCUUAUUGCUUAGAGGAAGGAGAAGUCGUAACA